GACGUAGGGCGCGAGCGUUGUCCGGAUUUAUUGGGCGUAAAGAGCUCGUAGGCGGCUUGUUGCGUCGACCGUGAAAACCCGGGGCUCAACUUCGGGCUUGCGGUCGAUACGGGCGGGCUAGAGUUCGGUAGGGGAGACUGGAAUUCCUGGUGUAGCGGUGGAAUGCGCAGAUAUCAGGAGGAACACCGAUGGCGAAGGCAGGUCACUGGGCCGCAACUGACGCUGAGGAGCGAAAGCAUGGGGAGCGAACAGG
This 253-nucleotide ribosomal RNA is filed under the name uncultured bacterium. Its description in RNAcentral is "partial 16S ribosomal RNA". It matches the Rfam family "Bacterial small subunit ribosomal RNA", at positions 524 to 776 of the family's 1533-position model. The record is from RNAcentral.